RNAcentral lists this small RNA (564 nucleotides) under Arabidopsis thaliana (thale cress). RNAcentral describes it as "putative long intergenic non-coding RNA". Lineage: Eukaryota; Viridiplantae; Streptophyta; Magnoliopsida; Brassicales; Brassicaceae. The record is from RNAcentral.
GUGCUUCUCGUCGGUUUGUGCUCUGCUAAUUUUGAUCUCUUGUUUUUUUUUUUAACAAGUUACAGUGUGAAAAGAAUUGACUGUGUUUGUUAAGUUUUCAAGGUAUGCAACGGCUAAGUAAAUAUCAUUAAAAAAAAAAAGAAGGAAAAGAGAAAUUAUUCUGACAAUGUUAUAGGUACAAUUCUGGGCUCCUUCAUCCAUGAUUCAACUAAAUUUGGGUCCUUGGUUUUGAGUCUGUUGUAGUUAUCAUGAAACCCACUUCAGGAUAUUUUGACACAAAAGGUGAUAAUGGGAGUUGGAAAAAUAGAAAAAGUAUCACGGGGAAGUGAUGAAUUGAAGAGGUGUGUGUAGCCCAAGUGAUUCACACGAUUGUGACAAGAGAUUAUUAAGUUUGCUUUAAAUGAUUCAUUCAUAUCGCUUUUUCAAUAAUAAAAUUUCCAGCUUUUGUGGGUCUUUCUCGCUCAGGUACUCUCGCUCAUAUGUACAAAGCUUAAAGACUGGCACGAGAUAAUGUGCCCAUAAGGCUUCUUCCAUCCAUCCCAAACUUUUUUAGUAAAAACAUAC